AUGAAACGAAGGACGCUCUUUUUAGAGGUCCGACCAAUCAUUUACCUUUACACUGUGCACAUACUACUUUUUUACACCAAUUUUUAACGCAUUAGUUUUAAGAAUGUAAAAUCAGUCUCGAAAGAGCAUAAAAUAAACA
RNAcentral lists this unclassified non-coding RNA (139 nucleotides) under uncultured Basidiomycota. RNAcentral's name for it is "sequence contains ITS1". The record is from RNAcentral. Lineage: Eukaryota; Fungi; Basidiomycota.